RNAcentral lists this non-coding RNA (965 nucleotides) under Submyotodon latirostris (Taiwan broad-muzzled bat). Its description in RNAcentral is "12S ribosomal RNA". It matches the Rfam family "Bacterial small subunit ribosomal RNA". Lineage: Eukaryota; Metazoa; Chordata; Mammalia; Chiroptera; Vespertilionidae. The record is from RNAcentral.
AUAGGUUUGGUCCUAGCCUUUCUAUUAGUUACUAGCAAACUUACACAUGCAAGAAUCCUCGCCCCAGUGAGAAUGCCCUCUAUGUCGUUAGCGACAAAAAGGAGCUGGUAUCAAGCACGCCAACAGGCAGCUCAUGACACCUCGCUCAGCCACGCCCCCACGGGACACAGCAGUGAUAAAAAUUAAGCAAUAGACGAAAGUCUGACUAAGUUAUGCUACUAAGGACUGGUCAAUCUCGUGCCAGCCACCGCGGUCAUACGAUUGGGCCAAACUAAUAGAUACUCGGCGUAAAGCGUGUUGUAGGAAUCAAUUAACCAAUAAAAUCAAGUCUUAACUAAGCUGUAAAAAGCCUCAGUUACUAUAAGAUAAACUACGAAAGUGAUUUUAAAAAACCUGAUUACACGAUAGCUAAGACCCAAACUGGGAUUAGAUACCCCACUAUGCUUAGCCCUAAACAUAAAAAAAUUCAUAAACAAAAUUAUUCGCCAGAGUACUACAAGCAACAGCUUAAAACUCAAAGGACUUGGCGGUGCCUUAUAUCCCUCUAGAGGAGCCUGUUCUAUAAUCGAUAAACCCCGAUACACCUCACCAAUCUUUGCCAAAUCAGCCUAUAUACCGCCAUCUUCAGCAAACCCUAAAAAGGUAAUAAAGUAAGCACAAGUAUUAACAUAAAAACGUUAGGUCAAGGUGUAGCCUAUAGAUUGGAAAGAAAUGGGCUACAUUCCCCGGCUCGGGGAAUGCUAAUAACGAAAACCUAUGUGAAACCAAAAGUUAAAGGUGGAUUUAGCAGUAAACUAAGAAUAGAGUGCUUAGUUGAAUACGGCCAUAAGGCACGCACACACCGCCCGUCACCCUCCUCAAAUAAAACAAUACUAAACACAAUACAAACAAUAGCUAAGUAUCAAACUAUAAGAGGAGAUAAGUCGUAACAAGGUAAGUGUACUGGAAAGUGCACUUGGAUAAUA